Molecule: long non-coding RNA, 343 nt
Filed under: Homo sapiens (human)
Lineage: Eukaryota; Metazoa; Chordata; Mammalia; Primates; Hominidae
Description: non-protein coding lnc-MGAM-1:1
Source: RNAcentral
UGUGUGUAACCCUUUGAGGUACAACAUCAUUAUGAACAGCAGCACCUUCAUUUGGGUGAUAAUUGUGUCAUGGGUUUUGGGGUUUCUUUCUGAAAUCUGGCCAGUUUAUGCCACUUUUCAGCUUACUUUCUGCAAAUCAAGUGUGUUAGAUCAUUUUUAUUGUGACCGAGGACAAUUGCUCAAGGUAUCCUGUGAGGACACUCUUUUCAGAGAGUUUAUUCUUUUUCUAAUGGCUGUUUUCAUUAUCAUUGGUUCUUUGAUCCCUACGAUUGUCUCCUACACCUACAUCAUCUCCACCAACCUCAAGAUUCCGUCAGCCUCUGGCUGGAGGAAAUCCUUUUCC